UGUAUUUUUAUUCAGCAGAUUUUGUUAGGGUUCAUUUGGUUGACACGUUGAAGUACGUGACAAAGAGAAUAUUACAGCAUUUGUGAUGUGGUGUUCUUGAGAUGGAGGUUCCGUGGGAGACUGAAGAAUAUCUCCUUCCAUAAGAACCUAAUUGUGAGGGAUGUGUAUGAAAGAUAAAGGCUGAAAUGAAAUGAGAUGGCAAAUUAGCCCCUGCCAUUGGGGUUUACUAAGGAAC
This 235-nucleotide small RNA is filed under the name Vigna angularis var. angularis. RNAcentral's name for it is "Non-protein coding transcript". The record is from RNAcentral. Lineage: Eukaryota; Viridiplantae; Streptophyta; Magnoliopsida; Fabales; Fabaceae.